CCUGAAAGAGUGGAGGGUUUUUCUGGGUUUUCCAUUUUUUAUUUUUACAGACAUGAAAAAUGGGAAGUUUCUAUACAAGCUUUUUCACAUUCCUUUAUUGUAUUUUAUUCAAUUUUAUUUUAUUUUAAUAUAUGAUGUGGAUUGGGUGUCUGGAAGUUUGUGAAAAGCCCUUAUAAGAAGGGCCCAUAAUCCUGUUUUGAAUAUUGAGUAUUGAUUUUUUGGGUUUUAGGGAGAGGGAAAGAGAGAAGAAAGAGAGGAAAAGGAAAAAGAGAUACAAUGGAAGGAAUGGCUUCUGUAUGGGGUUAUCAACAGAGUGUCGAGGAGUUGCAACAUACGCUUCUUUACACCAAGUUGGAAUUAGAAUCAACAGUGAUGGCCGCAAAGGAAGAGAAGAGAAGAAACGAAGAGCAUGUGAACCAGUUACUUAAGCUCUUGAAUGUAGCCUUCCAAGAACGAGACGAAGCAAAGAAUCAAUUGCAGAGAUUGCUUAACAAGAUAAUGCAAUCGAGCUCUAGAGAACCCAGCUGCAUUCUUCCGAUUCUUCAACCCGAGAGCCCGUCACCGAUCAUACCAACCAAAGGAAAUUCGAGCAUCACGGAAUCUGACAGCUUAUCUGAGACUUACAAUCGUCAAUCCCAUGUUUCGUCCCCUGUAGACUCCUUUUUCGAUGGGGUUUCCUCGAACCCCUCACCCGACCUUUCGAACAUAAACGUGGCCGACUCAAGUAAUAUAGGAUUGCCAAAUCACCCAUUACUCCCAGAAUAUAAUGGGACAUCAUCUAUGGGAAUUAUCUCGUCUGAAAUGUCUCAGAUUGAUCCAGCUUCUGCAAUUAUCGAUCAGCUCGCAAUGAAGAAACCAUUGCCCAAGAAAGGGAAGUUGUUGCAGGCUGUAAUGGAAGCCGGCCCACUGCUGCAGACGCUUCUCGUGGCUGGACCGCUUCCUCAAUGGCGCAAUCCGCCACCGGUGCAAUCAUUUCAAAUCCCACCCGUUUCAAUCAAAGGCCCUGAACCAACACCUAUUCUUCAGAAACCAAUCAUAAAUCCUACUUUUCCUGUUCAAAGUUCUACUUCCAUGUCUUGUCAUGAAAAUCCAAACCGUGCAUCUCAGGUGCAUUCUACGGCUAUGUUGAACUUUUCAAGCGCGGUGGGCCCGUGCAUGAAGAAGAGAGCAUUCUUACCUUCUAUUGGUGGUAAUGGUUUAUUGGUUGAUCAAAGCUUGACUGGUAAAUGUCAAAGGAUUCAAUGACGACAUUAUAUACACGCAUUUGUGGCCUAAUCAGAAGCAUUGAAUUGCAUUGCAUUGCAUUAAUGUCAUCGUCGGGCGUCGGUGGAGAGUUACCUACUUUUGGGAGCAAGUCCAAACUCAAUUUGGGGAAUCCAUUCCGGAAGGUCUGGAAUGUUAUUUGUGCUGUCAUCGUCGAUGAUGGACUGUGUAGAAGCCUCUUGCAGCUGAAGAGCAUACUCCAAGUUCCACAGCACAUCUCCCAUUGUCGGCCUUUCG
Molecule: RNA transcript, 1500 nt
Organism: Magnolia sinica
Lineage: Eukaryota; Viridiplantae; Streptophyta; Magnoliopsida; Magnoliales; Magnoliaceae
Exons: 4
Source: RefSeq, a predicted model, not a curated record